GAUGAACGCUGGCGGCGUGCCUAAUACAUGCAAGUCGAGCGAACAGAGGAGGAGCUUGCUUCUCUGACGUUAGCGGCGGACGGGUGAGUAACACGUGGAUAACCUACCUAUAAGACUGGGAUAACUUCGGGAAACCGGAGCUAAUACCGGAUAAUAUAUUGAACCGCAUGGUUCAAUAGUGAAAGACGGUUUUGCUGUCACUUAUAGAUGGAUCCGCGCCGCAUUAGCUAGUUGGUAAGGUAACGGCUUACCAAGGCAACGAUGCGUAGCCGACCUGAGAGGGUGAUCGGCCACACUGGAACUGAGACACGGUCCAGACUCCUACGGGAGGCAGCAGUAGGGAAUCUUCCGCAAUGGGCGAAAGCCUGACGGAGCAACGCCGCGUGAGUGAUGAAGGUCUUCGGAUCGUAAAACUCUGUUAUUAGGGAAGAACAAAUGUGUAAGUAACUAUGCACGUCUUGACGGUACCUAAUCAGAAAGCCACGGCUAACUACGUG
This 497-nucleotide ribosomal RNA is filed under the name uncultured bacterium. RNAcentral's name for it is "partial 16S ribosomal RNA". It matches the Rfam family "Bacterial small subunit ribosomal RNA", at positions 28 to 507 of the family's 1533-position model. The record is from RNAcentral.